This 1408-nucleotide ribosomal RNA is filed under the name metagenome. Its description in RNAcentral is "bacterial LSU rRNA". It matches the Rfam family "Bacterial large subunit ribosomal RNA", at positions 1496 to 2925 of the family's 2925-position model. The record is from RNAcentral.
AAAUGGAAAAGCCGGUGCAAGCGAGGUAGGAGUACAGUAGGCAAAUCCGCUGUACAAUCCGAUGACGUGAUGCGGACCGAAUUAAGAGUAGGGAAGUGUGUGAGCCAUGCGUCAAGAAAAGCCGCUAUUGUUUUACUUAAGCCCGUACCGUAAACCGACACAGGUGGAUGAGGAGAGAAUCCUAAGGCCGACGGGAGAAGCAUUGUUAAGGAACUCGGCAAAAUGACUCCGUAACUUCGGGAGAAGGAGUGCCAGCGAGAGCUGGCCGCAGAGAAUUGGCCCAAGCAACUGUUUAGCAAAAACACAGGUCUAUGCAAAACCGUAAGGUGAAGUAUAUGGGCUGACGCCUGCCCGGUGCUGGAAGGUUAAGAGGAGAGGUUAGCGGCAACGCGAAGCUUUGAAUUUAAGCCCCAGUAAACGGCGGCCGUAACAAUAACGGUCCUAAGGUAGCGAAAUUCCUUGUCGGGUAAGUUCCGACCCGCACGAAAGGCGUAAUGAUUUGGACACUGUCUCAACAAUGCACCCGGUGAAAUUGAAAUACCAGUGAAGAUGCUGGUUACCUGCGCCAGGACGGAAAGACCCCAUGGAGCUUUACUCCAGCUUGAUACUGGGAUUCGGUAUUGCAUGUACAGGAUAGGUGGGAGGCUAGGAAGUGAUAACGCCAGUUGUCACGGAGCCGCUGUUGGGAUACCACCCUUGCAGUAUUGGAUUUCUAACCAGCGACCAUGAACUGGUCGGGGGACAAUGUCAGGUGGGGAGUUUGACUGGGGCGGUCGCCUCCGAAAGGGUAUCGGAGGCGCUCAAAGGUUCCCUCAGAAUGGACGGAAACCAUUCGAAGAGUGCAAAGGCAGAAGGGAGCUUGACUGCGACACCGACGGGUGGAGCAGGUACGAAAGUAGGACUUAGUGAUCCGGUGGUAUAAAGUGGGAUUGCCAUCGCUCAACGGAUAAAAGCUACCCUGGGAUAACAGGCUUAUCACUCCCAAGAGUUCACAUCGACGGAGUGGUUUGGCACCUCGAUGUCGGCUCAUCGCAUCCUGGGGCUGAAGUAGGUCCCAAGGGUUGGGCUGUUCGCCCAUUAAAGCGGUACGCGAGCUGGGUUCAGAACGUCGUGAGACAGUUCGGUCCCUAUCCGGCGUGGGCGUAGGAUAUUUGAGAGGAGCUGUCCUUAGUACGAGAGGACCGGGAUGGACUGGCCGCUGGUGUAUCUGUUGCAUACCAAAUGCAUGGCAGAGUAGCCAAGCCGGGACGGGAUAAACGCUGAAGGCAUCUAAGCGUGAAGCCCCCCUCAAGAUGAGAUAUCCCUACGUAAGUAGUAAGACCCCUUGAAGACGACGAGGUAGAUAGGUCAGAGGUGGAAGUACAGUAAUGUAUGGAGCUGACUGAUACUAAUCGGUCGAGGGCAUGAC